CGAAACACAAUCAUAGGAUGAAAGAAAGCAAAAAACCCAGCUGGCACCUGCUGGGAGGGCGGGGAGAGAGAAUCUGGCAGACAGGAGGUUCCUACAGAGAUUGCCAACACUACUACACGUCUGAUUUGCUUUUUUGGGCAGCAUGUUGAAUCCAAAGGUGAUAAACAUUUGGCUUGGCUGGCCAGACAAGAUGCGCCCGCAUCAGACACGGCGCUCGCUCUCCUCUCUCUCACUGGCGUCUCUGCGCCUCUCAAGGCAGCUCCUUCUGCUGUGCUUCACAUCUCCAGCCCUCGAGUUUCAGGGAGGAUUGAGGCUCUGCUGGAGUGAAACACAUCAGUGGGAAUAGCUGCUCCCUUGCAAAGAGCUGGCUGGCUGGCUGGGCUGCUCGCUACCAGACAUCUGGACAGCCAAUUCCACUUUUCAGUUUGCAGCACAACACAGGGAUUGUUGUUAGAGGAUAUCUUUGAACCUCAGGAAACUUAGCUAUCUUUAGCAUUUUUAGGACAACAGCUUUAUUUACAACUCAGUGCCACGGAAAGACAAAUGUUUAACCAAACUGGGAAUGACUUUGUUCUCCAAAUACUUUCAGUGAGGAGGGGUGACUAUGAAGUGAGAAAAAAAAGAAAAACCUCACUGUUGUCUGAGCAACAAGAGAGGUUAGUAAAGAUUCUUGACUACCCUUUCCCUAGCUCUGAAGUCAUGAAGAAAGUGCUACAGCCCAGCUGUGUAGCAUUUUGUGUUCUUUUUGCACCACCUUCUUUCUAUAAACACCCAGUGGUUUCGCUGUGCCAUGGAACAUGCAGGGAACGGUGCUUGCCUGCCCUGGAAACCACACAAGGAAGACAUGCAGACCUUCGUGGAACCUCCAUCAAUUAG
RNAcentral lists this long non-coding RNA (876 nucleotides) under Cyanistes caeruleus (blue tit). RNAcentral's name for it is "lncRNA (ENSCCEG00000021798.1)". The record is from RNAcentral. Lineage: Eukaryota; Metazoa; Chordata; Aves; Passeriformes; Paridae.